Long non-coding RNA from Cheilinus undulatus (humphead wrasse), 1879 nucleotides. RefSeq lists it as uncharacterized. The transcript has 3 exons. Lineage: Eukaryota; Metazoa; Chordata; Actinopteri; Labriformes; Labridae. The record is from RefSeq and is a predicted model, not a curated record.
AGAGCUCUAGCUGCAGUGCCGUGGGUGAAUGGUGCCCUCUAGUGGGGUAACGACGAACUUCUUCGUGUCAGCUGAGAUAACUGUUUUUAAAGUGGAGGUAGAAAGAUUUCUUUCGGUUCAACAACAGCACGCCCUCCAACGAAGCAGGCCUUCUUUCCUUCCUUUCUGGCUGCCUGUACCGCUGGCCAUAAUUUCUUGCGAUUUUCCCUGUCGAUUUUGCAAAGGUCCUCAGCAAAGCGAAGGCCGUUGUCUCGUAGAUACUCGUUGGUCUUGGCUGCUGCCCAGACCCCUGCCUUGAAUACCCGCGAGGAGAACUGGAGAAUCGUUCCUCGAGGGUCCGUGUCUCUUUUGGUAAUUGGAUAAAACGUUUGUAAACAGAUAUCAAAAAUAGAAAAACGACUGGUUAUUUGAUUUUUGUUUUAAAAUAGAAAAACCAAAAUUGAAAUACAGCUUGAUUUUCUUUUUUGUUGUCUGGAACGAGUAAGAAAAAGUCAAAUAACGGUUUGAUUUUCAAUAUUCAUUUCUAUAAAGAAAAUAAAAUAUAGCACAAGACACAAAACUACGGAAGCCCUAAAGGGCCAUGAAUUCACAUAUAUUAUUUACUCCGUUUUCUCGUGAUAACGAGAUAAUUUCCGGAUGGUGUACGAAACAAACUGAAGGCUGAUCACUCUGAGAGCCAACCCAUCACAUGCUCUGCGGUUGCUGACCACACCAGUGAGCUGUAGCAGAUGUGGUGGAGGGGCUUCCACUUUCCCCUGGGAGGCCGGUGACUACAGUGGCUCUGAACACACUGUUACUGGGACCAAGUAUUCCACAAAGAAGGAGUUGGACCCUGUGGUGACAACAUGGAACACCCACCGGAUCCGGCCAGGUCAGAAUGGUUGUGACUUGUAUCAUGGAAAACCUUUCCUCAUGUAUCAUGCACCAGAACUCUACCAGGCACAGGACUACCUCAUCCCACUGGACCAUGAAAGACUGGACAUCAUCCUGCAACAAGAUGUUUGCCAUUGGAAAACUGAUAUUGUCUGUGAUCCAGAUCUUCUUGAGCUCUGCGUUUUAGUAAUGGAGGAGCAUAAUCUUCAGGCUGGCCACAAUGCUGUCCAAGCUACCAGACUUUACCGACAACUGAGGCCCUUGAUAAGAGCACAGUUGUCGGGGCCAGAAUAGUCCUUACCUUGCUAGUUUGUUGUUUCACACAAGUGGUUGUUAACAAUUAUCCAGUUGCAGCUGGUUGUGAGAUCAGCUCCAUUUCCAGGUGUUUAACACAUACCUGCUCUCUGAUUCUUUAUCAGUUUUGUGCAGAACACACACAUCAGUAGGAAUGAACAUGCCUUUGUUUUGAAUGUUUUUAGUGUUUACAUUUCCUACUUUGAGAAGAGAACAAACUUUUUUUUUCAUUUAAGUCUAAUAUGUCUUAGCUACAGACACCCGCAGUUUCUUAACAAUAUUAGACAUGGCUUUACUUGCAAUGUUACACUCUGCUACAGAUGACAUUAUUUUGUAUUGAAAGUUUAAUGUGUGUAUUGUUUUUCCAUUUACACUUUAGUUACCCUUGCUCUCAAUUAUGUGUUUGAAAAUGAUCAAGGGUUGUUUCAUUCUGUUUGAUAAAUGCAACUAAAAAGUCACACCACAGUAAUUAGAGCCUUCUUGAGACUUUGACAGAACACUGUCAUUAAUAUAAAUGCUAAAUCUUAAUACUUUCUGUAUAUAGCUUUAAAUACCUACAUCAAGGCAAACCAAGAGGUGAUUUAUCUUUAUCUUAUGACUGUUUAGGCAACUGUAUGAAGAUAUUUUCUUUUGAGUAAAGUACAGAUGAAUCCAGUCCACAGCCAGAAUCCUUCUCAUCUCCACUAAUACUGUGUCAUUUGGGAAAAAUGCU